AUGAACCAUGUAUAUUUGAUUUGCGGUCAUUCAAAGAGAAAACUAACCCCAAAAGGGCAAUUCUGUAGCUCCCCCAUAAGAGUACCUCUUGCUUUCUGGGAUGAAGUGUAAGUAUAGCUCAUGAACAUGGGCUUCACCAUGGGGAAACAACAGUUUGCACUUUUGUUCUAUCUGAAAGCAAGAAAAGCAUGUUUACUAGCUAGAGAAAAGGCAUAAACAAGCUCAGUCAAAGACUCUGUAGUAGGCUGAGCAUCUGAACCCACCAGGCAUGUAAGGACCUGUGACCCAGCACCUGACUGGAAAUUAAAUCUGCUCGGGUCAAGAACAACUUAACAUUUGGGGGAGAGUUAAAAGAAUGAAUGGAGCAAAAUAUAAAUGAGCAAGAGAUGCUACGGUAAAACUAUGACUCUCUAGGUUAACCUUUUAACACAAGAGUUUGUUACUCUUCUUGCCUAGCUUUUCUCUGGCUUGGAACCUGAGAAAAUAAAUGUUUCAAUAACAUCAGUGGUUUCUGAGGGAGCUUUCUCCAUCCUUCUUAGCUGGCUGUUGGAAACCUGUGGGGGCACAGAGUAAAAUUAAGAGCUCAAAGGGACCUGUUCCAAACAGAAUUUGUCAUAGACACUUGCUACAGGUUCCCUCUGGGAGAUGGAGGAGGAGGAGGCGGUACAUCUAAAAAUUAACCCGACCUUAUUUGUGCCAGAACAAAGCAUUAGUGGGGGUAGGGUAGUAGAGGGAGGAGGGACGCUUAAAAAAAAAACCCAAAAACUGCUAGAGUGACAGAUAACUUGAGAGAAUUUCCUAAGAGG
Long non-coding RNA from Myotis brandtii (Brandt's bat), 806 nucleotides. RefSeq lists it as uncharacterized. The record is from RefSeq and is a predicted model, not a curated record. The transcript has 2 exons. Lineage: Eukaryota; Metazoa; Chordata; Mammalia; Chiroptera; Vespertilionidae.